AUAGCCAUAAACAUAAAUAGUUCACAACACUACUAUUCGCCAGAGAACUACAAGCCACUGCUUAAAACUCAAAGGACUUGGCGGUGCUUUAUAUCCAUCUAGAGGAGCCUGUUCCAUAAUCGAUGAUCCCCGAUCUACCUUACCACUCCUUGCUAAUUCAGCCUAUAUACCGCCAUCUUCAGCCGACCCUAAAAAGGAAACAAAGUAAGCUAAAAGAGUAAAUACUAAAGAAGUUAGGUCAAGGUGUAGCCUAUGAAGUGGAGCGAAAUGGGCUACAUUUUCUAACCCUAGAACAUUACGAAACCCUAUGUGAAACCCAUAGGAUAAAGGAGGAUUUAGUAGUAAAUUAAAACUAGAGUGUUUAAUUGAAUAGAGCAAUGAAGCACG
RNAcentral lists this ribosomal RNA (387 nucleotides) under Dipodomys nelsoni (Nelson's kangaroo rat). Its description in RNAcentral is "partial 12S ribosomal RNA". It matches the Rfam family "Bacterial small subunit ribosomal RNA", at positions 796 to 1383 of the family's 1533-position model. Lineage: Eukaryota; Metazoa; Chordata; Mammalia; Rodentia; Heteromyidae. The record is from RNAcentral.